RNAcentral lists this transfer RNA (69 nucleotides) under Protohermes concolorus. RNAcentral describes it as "tRNA-Met". The stretch from base 8 to 69 matches the Rfam family "tRNA". From Rfam's summary of the family: Transfer RNA (tRNA) molecules are approximately 80 nucleotides in length. Lineage: Eukaryota; Metazoa; Arthropoda; Insecta; Megaloptera; Corydalidae. The record is from RNAcentral.
UAUAUCUAAAAAGAUAAGCUAACAAAGCUAAUGGGUUCAUACCCCGUAUAUAAAGGUUUAAAUCCUUUU